This is a long non-coding RNA of Atta colombica, 866 nucleotides long. RefSeq lists it as uncharacterized. The transcript has 3 exons. The record is from RefSeq and is a predicted model, not a curated record. NCBI's taxonomy places the organism in Eukaryota, Metazoa, Arthropoda, Insecta, Hymenoptera, Formicidae.
ACAUUGCUCGAGCGGAGAAAGACCGUUAAAAGAAGAAAAACGGAGUAAAAAAAGAACAGUAAUAGUUUCUAAAAAGGAAGUAAAAGAAAAGACUAUUAUAAAAUUUUCCUCGAGAGAUUUUUGUAUAUUAUGUUUUACAAAUCCCAUUAUUGUGACUCUCACUUUCUGGCGACUCGACCGGUGAAAACUGCAACCGUACCGCACUUAUAUCAAGAUCUGCAUCUUACGUAAGCGCGACACAGGAUCAGUUAGAUACUUUCGAAGAUUAUCUGCCCAAUUAAUCUGCCAAGGCAAACCGCAAGGAAUUCGACCUUUCUCCGGUUCCAACAAGAUUGUCACGCGAACACCAUGCUUCCGCGUAUCCUGAGACUUCCGGGAAACUGCAGAAAAAUCCUCGUUCCUGCUGGACCUUCUACAGCGGGAAUGUGAAGUGCGAUUGACUGCAGUGAGCAACAACUAUUGUCGCCGGUGUAACCAGGCACUGAGAAGGGGCUAUUAACAGUGACAUGUCUCUCAUUAAAAAAUCUCCCGCGAGUGCCGUGGGUCUCUCGCGUGUGACUCAUAAUUAUCGCUAAGGCAAAUUCUUCUUGAGGCUUGAGCGAGCAACCAAUGACGUUCGUAUUCUGCAAUACGCUUGCCUGCUUGAUUUUUGUAAUAUUCGCGCGUGUAUGUACGUUGUUAGUAUUAUUCCACUGAUUUCGCGUCUUGAUAUCGAUCUGAUUCUAAUCAAGAAGGAGGAAUAGAUUACAGUAAAAAUAACAGUAAACAUGAACGUUGUAAUGACUUUGUCGUUGUGAAAGACUAAUUGUAAUUUUUACACAGUCUUAUUACUAAUGUCUGAUGUAAAACUUGAAGAAUUCUGAGAA